GCCUAAUAAUGCAAGUCGAACGCACUCUCGUUUAGAUUGAAGGAGCUUGCUCCUGAUUGAUAAACAUUUGAGUGAGUGGCGGACGGGUGAGUAACACGUGGGUAACCUGCCCUAAAGUGGGGGAUAACAUUUGGAAACAGAUGCUAAUACCGCAUAAAACCUAACACCGCAUGGUGUAGGGUUGAAAGAUGGUUUCGGCUAUCACUUUAGGAUGGACCCGCGGUGCAUUAGUUAGUUGGUGAGGUAAAGGCUCACCAAGACCGUGAUGCAUAGCCGACCUGAGAGGGUAAUCGGCCACACUGGGACUGAGACACGGCCCAGACUCCUACGGGAGGCAGCAGUAGGGAAUCUUCCACAAUGGACGAAAGUCUGAUGGAGCAACGCCGCGUGAGUGAAGAAGGUUUUCGGAUCGUAAAACUCUGUUGUUGGAGAAGAAUGUAUCUGAUAGUAACUGAUCAGGUAGUGACGGUAUCCAACCAGAAAGCCACGGCUAACUACGUGCCAGCAGCCGCGGUAAUACGUAGGUGGCAAGCGUUGUCCGGAUUUAUUGGGCGUAAAGCGAGCGCAGGCGGUUUCUUAAGUCUGAUGUGAAAGCCUUCGGCUCAACCGAAGAAGUGCAUCGGAAACUGGGAAACUUGAGUGCAGAAGAGGACAGUGGAACUCCAUGUGUAGCGGUGAAAUGCGUAGAUAUAUGGAAGAACACCAGUGGCGAAGGCGGCUGUCUGGUCUGUAACUGACGCUGAGGCUCGAAAGCAUGGGUAGCAAACAGGAUUAGAUACCCUGGUAGUCCAUGCCGUAAACGAUGAGUGCUAGGUGUUGGAGGGUUUCCGCCCUUCAGUGCCGCAGCUAACGCAUUAAGCACUCCGCCUGGGGAGUACGACCGCAAGGUUGAAACUCAAAGGAAUUGACGGGGGCCCGCACAAGCGGUGGAGCAUGUGGUUUAAUUCGAAGCAACGCGAAGAACCUUACCAGGUCUUGACAUCCUUUGACCACUCUAGAGAUAGAGCUUUCCCUUCGGGGACAAAGUGACAGGUGGUGCAUGGUUGUCGUCAGCUCGUGUCGUGAGAUGUUGGGUUAAGUCCCGCAACGAGCGCAACCCUUAUUACUAGUUGCCAGCAUUUAGUUGGGCACUCUAGUGAG
This 1140-nucleotide ribosomal RNA is filed under the name Latilactobacillus sakei. RNAcentral's name for it is "bacterial SSU rRNA". It matches the Rfam family "Bacterial small subunit ribosomal RNA", at positions 46 to 1147 of the family's 1533-position model. The record is from RNAcentral. Lineage: Bacteria; Bacillati; Bacillota; Bacilli; Lactobacillales; Lactobacillaceae.